Molecule: long non-coding RNA, 176 nt
Organism: Etheostoma cragini (Arkansas darter)
Lineage: Eukaryota; Metazoa; Chordata; Actinopteri; Perciformes; Percidae
Exons: 4
Source: RefSeq, a predicted model, not a curated record
CAGGUGUGGCUGACUCUGGGACUCUCAAACUGGUUUUGGACCAUGCAGUGAUGACAACAAGACAAGGUCACCUGCUGAAAGCGGAUGUCCAUGUCGAAGCUCUAGUUUACCGCAAUAAUGGGCUUUGUCAAGAAUGCUGGAAAGAAGAAGAAAACAGAAGAGCAAUGCCGCUGUUC